This is a long non-coding RNA of Habropoda laboriosa, 169 nucleotides long. RefSeq lists it as uncharacterized. Lineage: Eukaryota; Metazoa; Arthropoda; Insecta; Hymenoptera; Apidae. The transcript has 3 exons. The record is from RefSeq and is a predicted model, not a curated record.
UUUUCCGUCGCGAGUUUAGUUUGCAUUACCUGAGAAAUAAGUGUACCGUGCACGAGGACGCGGAGGUUCGCCGAAUGGUUCCGCAGAAAGCGAUAUUCAACCGGAAAGCUUGCGAACAUGAAGUGAGGGAAUCGAGUCGCCUUCAGGGAUGAACUCCUGACGAGAGAGC